GAGCUUUCAGCAAGUGGUAAUUACUAAUCAUAGACCACCAUAACAAAUAUAAUAAUGAGAAAGUUUGAAAUUUUUCGUGAAUUACCAAAAUGUGAGAAACAUGGAGUGUGCAGGGGGAAAUUGGGGCCAUUUUAGAAGCUGCCUGCACACUGAACAGUACCAUUUCUGGGUACAGGGAAAAGAAACGUGACAAAUUGUCCAUUGACUCCUAAAUGAUUCUUUUUGGAAGUGGCAUACAGUACUUCUGCUCAUAUUUUGUGGCCAAACAGGUCGCACUGCCACCACUAACUUCCAAGGGAUAGGAAAUUGCAGUCCUACCAUGUACUGGAAAGAAGAGGGAACCCAGAGCAUUUGUGAAUAGUACUGACUGUAAGUCCCAGGUGCAGAACAUGACGUUAACUGGGAUUUGUCCUUUAGUCCAGGAUGGAAACUAGGAUUAAGAGGUGAGCCAUUAAGGACCCCACAGUGCAAAAAAAGAGCCAUAAAUAACUGGGUGCCAGACAACCUCUCCACUUCCAGGACUUACUAAAGGGUGACCAGUCUUCUCCAUCCUCAACCGUUUCCCCAGACCUGUUCUGACAACCCCCACUUCAGAUAACUUCAAGAUUAGUUGGAGCGGUGGGGAUGGGAACCAGCAGCCAUGAAUCAGCCGGGGAAAAGGACCCCCUGGGUUUGCUCCAAAAAUCAAGUGAGGAUUCCAAGCGAUUCCCCCUUGGAGACUGGGGCUGCUCGCAAGAAGGAGGUUGGAAACCUGUAUAGAAACAAGAGGGAGGAAGGGAGGCCAAGUGGACAUCCCAUUAGGUGUUCUGGCUGGAGGGGGAACUACGGGCCCAGGGAGUUGGCAGGGGUCACCCUGGGUUGGGGCUACGCAUCAGAGAACUGUGCGGGAGACAGCGCCGCACACUUGGGCACCCAGCGACCCAAUCCUCAGCACGCCACCGGGAAAGCUCGGGCACCCGGCGGCGGUGGGGUCUACAGAGACCGCGCGCCGCAGGGUCUUGUGGGAGGUGCGGCGGGGCUGUCCGUGCGCAGGCGCAGUGCUGCCGGACCGCGGGCUUGACCCCCGCCACCAAGCGCUGGCAAAGCUGGGCCGCUCUUUGCAGCGCCCCAAGUUACUCGCGGAGAGACUGGAGCUCACAGGGGCACUCUGGGUCAGCGGAGCCAUGCAGGUCAGAGCGCCAGACUGCGGGUACGAUGGAGGGACUUGAACCCCAAAUCUGGGGCCUCGGGAGCAAUGGUCUCAAAAAGAGGGUGAUGCUGAGAUUUGGCUAUGGAGUGUGGGAACCUUCCACGUUCUCUAAGCACUCACUUCGCCGGGCUCUGCUCGUCUCCGACGGGGGUUAGUGGCAUCUGUCCCCGAGUGGUUUGUGGGUCCCUUUCUCCUUCCGACUCCAGGCUUGGCGCCGCAACCCUGCGCGGGGCUGCUCCGGCUCUGAGUGUCCCCCGGGUCAGGGCCGCAAUCCCGCGGCUCCUCUCUCAGAGCAGUGUGCCCCGGGGGAUCCACCCUUUGGUGCCUCGGGUUUCUCUCAAGUGUUGUAUCGCCUGCGUUGCCGUUCUUGUGUCCAGUGGUCCCUAGCCCGAGUUCCUCCAGCUCUGUCUCCUUAACUCCGUAACCUUGCCCAGGCAGAAGAAGAAAUGACCACUUCCAGGCAAGAAACUUUACGACUGUGCUGAGUAUGGGAAGAGCGUCCAUCGGAGCAUAGGUCUUCACUAUCAUCAGAGAAUUCACACCGGAGAGAAACCUUUCAUAUGUGAUACAUGUGAAAAAGGCUUCAGUUAUAACACAAAACUUUGUGUUCAUUGGAGAGUCCACACAGGAGAGAAACCUUUUAAGUGUGAAAAGUGUGGCAAGGGCUUCACUCAGAGCUCCAAUCUUCACAUCCAUCAGAGAGUCCACACUGGAGAAAAACCUUUCAUAUGUGAUACAUGUGGCAAAAGCUUUAGUUACAACACAAAUCUUCAUGCUCAUCGGAGAGUUCACACAGGAGAGAAACCUUUUAAGUGUGGGGAGUGUGGCAAGGGCUUCUAUCAGAGCGCUAAGCCUCACAUCCAUAAGAGUCCACACUGGAGAGAAACUCUACAAAUGUGGUUAAGUGUGGUAAGGACUUCAGUCAGAACAUAGAUCUCCAAAUGCAUCAGAGACUCCACACAAGAGAGAAACUCUGCAAGUGUGUGUGAUUCAGAGCAUCAGUCUCCAAGUUUAUCAAAGAAUUCACACAGAGAGACCAUUAAAUAUGAAAGAUGUGGUAAGGGUUUCAGUUACAACAUGAACUUUCAUGUUCAUGAGAGGGACCACAGGGUCUCACAAGGGUAGAAACCUUGUGUACCUGAGAAGUGAGCUCAAGUCUUCAUAUUCCUCAGAUCCCAGGGAAGAAUCCUAUGAAAUGAAAUUGUGUGUCAGGCUCUGGACUGACCAUCUCCAUAGAAGGUUGGGUUGAUUCCAUCUCAAAGAGGAUUAUGUUGGACAUAACCCAUGAGUUACCCAGCACCAGUGACAAACAAGGUCUUCUUCCUGGGAAAGACACCCCUUACCUGGCAAAGGCCUUUCUAGGAUGAAAGCCUCCUGGGACUAAUUGAGCAUCUCCUCAUCCAUCUGUCAUGUCUCCAGGCUGCUGGAUGCCUUGCACCAUGGAUUGUAGAAAUCUCCAGGUAAGGCAUCUUCAGAGUAGAUGUUGCUAGAAGAGACAGCUAAAGAAAGGGACUGCAUCAGGGUUUGUGGAAGGGAGUUAGAGUAGAGGAAAACAAAUCUGAAAGGGAAUGAUUAGAAGGAAAAGUGUCUAGGAGGGAGCUUGUGGGAUAGUGGGGGUGGAAAGCCCAGAAGUUUCUCUAAAGUCUCUAGCAAGUGUGGUGACCCCCCAGUACAGGGCCUUCCCUGGAAGUCUGAGCUGAGCAGAGAGUGGUCUACAGUGGGUAGAUCUGGACCCCAUCAGUAUUAGGGCCAGUUGAGACCAGAGGUAGAAGAGCUGCUGGGAGGGGCCUUGGAAAGCAACUCCAUCAAGGCAACUCUUGAUCCUUUCAAGAGGCAUAAAUUAAUCAGAGACAGAGCCUGGGGCCUGGCAAUGAAGAGGGAAUACCUGGGCCAUUGGAGGUUAGGAAGAGGUCAAGGACCCAGUUUCAUCACUGAAUUGUGGAUAGGGAAGAGAAAUGCUUUGUCUGAAUCCUUCACUUAGGAGCAGUAUGUUCUGUAUGCACCCUAAGCAGCCAUUUCAAGGGGAAGGAUAUCUACAAUUAGUAGGCCUUUGGGGCUCUAGGAGGACUGUCAGCUGAGCUGUCCAGAGACCAUCAGCUCACACUGGGAGAGGGGCUUGGUAUGCCUGAGGUCUUUAAUGGCAACUGGCAUCUGAGAGGCACUCAAAUAUCACUGAAUGAAGGUAUUAAUAAAAUUCUAACAACUCACAUUUUAUAUCAGUUUCUUUUCCUUCUUCCUCUUCCUUUUUCCUCUUUGUU
This is a long non-coding RNA of Enhydra lutris kenyoni (northern sea otter), 3447 nucleotides long. RefSeq lists it as uncharacterized. NCBI's taxonomy places the organism in Eukaryota, Metazoa, Chordata, Mammalia, Carnivora, Mustelidae. The record is from RefSeq and is a predicted model, not a curated record. The transcript is spliced from 4 exons.